ACACUUGGGCUAAGGGUCAAGUUGGUAAUUUCCUCGCGCAUCUCCCACUCCUAGAGCCCAGCCCAGGUACCAUAUACGCAUCCAAAAUAAAGAGCCUUGAAUACUAGAAGAAAAGCAACUAUCCCGAUAUGAAAAGUGGUAUCAAAAGUCUCUGAUGCAUGGUUUGUUGGCAUUUUCA
RNAcentral lists this antisense RNA (178 nucleotides) under Punica granatum (pomegranate). RNAcentral's name for it is "Antisense RNA which regulates isiA expression". It matches the Rfam family "Antisense RNA which regulates isiA expression". The record is from Rfam by way of RNAcentral. Lineage: Eukaryota; Viridiplantae; Streptophyta; Magnoliopsida; Myrtales; Lythraceae.